CCGCGUGCGGCAGGAGAGCUUGAGGAGAUACGGAGGUCGCCGCGUCUCUCAAAGAGGCCGCUGUCGCAACUCCGGCCAUCUGCAAUUAGCUUCCGCCAUCCAUCGGCACGACAAAGCAGAGGUGGUGCUGUUGCAACAAGCAGGUUCAGAGACUACUUUGAUCUGAGAAUUUCUCUGACUUAGAAAGGUGACUGACGUGUCUACUAGAAGAGACCCCUAAACUGCAGGAAACUUAUACGACGGAAUUUCCAGCGAACUUAGUCCACCACUUAUGUUGUUUAUCUUUUUGCUUCCAUCUUACUGGUAAAUUUUCAAGUUAUUCUAGUUCGGUUGAGACGAUUCAGUGUGGUACCAUUUUGUAUCUCAAUUUUUUUUCCUAAUAUUCUGAAUUUUCUAAACUA
Molecule: long non-coding RNA, 401 nt
Organism: Triticum aestivum (bread wheat)
Lineage: Eukaryota; Viridiplantae; Streptophyta; Magnoliopsida; Poales; Poaceae
Exons: 2
Source: RefSeq, a predicted model, not a curated record